UACGGGGGGGGCAAGCGUUGUUCGGAAUUACUGGGCGUAAAGGGCGCGUAGGUGGCCAACUAAGUCAGACGUGAAAUCCCUCGGCUUAACCUGGGAACUGCAUCCGAUACUGGUCGGCUUGAAUCCGGGAGAGGGAUGCAGAAUUCCAGGUGUAGCGGUGAAAUGCGUAGAUAUCUGGAGGAAUACCGGUGGCGAAGGCGGCAUCCUGGACCGGCAUUGACGCUGAACAGCGAAAGCUAGGGGAGCAAACGGG
Molecule: ribosomal RNA, 253 nt
Filed under: uncultured bacterium
Lineage: Bacteria
Description: partial 16S ribosomal RNA
Rfam family: Bacterial small subunit ribosomal RNA
Source: RNAcentral